UUCCUAGGAUGCAUCCUUCGAAUGCGUCGACGCCGAUUGCGUCACAGCGACGCGCCAAGUGCUGUCCCAAUUCCAAGGGUCCUUCAAAUGCGGCCUACGAAUGCAGCCUGCUUUUCCCGGAUUUCAAGGAUGCAUCGGCUGUAUCCUUCACGGCCCAACGUAUCCCAAGAUCCUUCACGGCCCAACGUAUCCCUCCCAAGAUUCAUUGCGCAUUCAAUCAAAAAAAUAAAACCGACAGAAACAAUGGCGGAGAAUGUCGAUUUGAGUUUUUCAUUUAAAUGGAGCCAGCAGCAUACUGCUCAAUUUAUUAAACUGGGGUUGAAACAUUCAGCGAAUGUGGCUUGGGGGACAAUUCUGGAGAAAAUAGGCCUGCAGGGGAAGGUGACUCCCCUGCAGGCAUAGAAAAAAUGGGAUAAUUUAAAAAAAUAUGUAUAAAGAUUGCAAGUAUCCAGGGUCAGGAGAGGGGGUAGGUGGGAAACCCACUGCUGCCACUUGGCCCUGGUUUGUCCUCAUGGAUGAGGUAUUGGGACAGAGGCAUUCCACCAACCCCCCUGUCCUAAUUGCCUCCAUCCCUGAGAACACACCAGGGCCAAGUACAGCAGUGGUGGAUCAGGAGGUGGAGGACAAGGAUGAGGAGGAAAGACAGCGGCCAAGGUCCAGAAAGAGGGACAGAGAGGACGAAAUGUUCCAAUUGAUCAAAGAGGACAUGAGGCUAAAUAGGGAGGCAGAGGAGAGAAGAGCCCAGGAGAGCAGGGAGAGGAUGGAUCGAUUUUUUUCAAUUUUGGAGCGUUUGGUUGACAAAUAAUUUCAGUUCUGU
This is a long non-coding RNA of Gadus morhua (Atlantic cod), 817 nucleotides long. Lineage: Eukaryota; Metazoa; Chordata; Actinopteri; Gadiformes; Gadidae. The record is from Ensembl.